This 70-nucleotide transfer RNA is filed under the name Neotoma lepida (desert woodrat). It matches the Rfam family "tRNA". Rfam says of the family: Transfer RNA (tRNA) molecules are approximately 80 nucleotides in length. Their secondary structure includes four short double-helical elements and three loops (D, anti-codon, and T loops). Further hydrogen bonds mediate the characteristic L-shaped molecular structure. tRNAs have two regions of fundamental functional importance: the anti-codon, which is responsible for specific mRNA codon recognition, and the 3' end, to which the tRNAs corresponding amino acid is attached (by aminoacyl-tRNA synthetases). tRNAs cope with the degeneracy of the genetic code in two manners: having more than one tRNA (with a specific anti-codon) for a particular amino acid; and 'wobble' base-pairing, i.e. permitting non-standard base-pairing at the 3rd anti-codon position. The record is from Rfam by way of RNAcentral. Lineage: Eukaryota; Metazoa; Chordata; Mammalia; Rodentia; Cricetidae.
AGGGUUGUAGCUCAAUUGGUAGAGUGUUUGCCUAGCAUGAGCAAAGUCCUGGGUUCAAUUCUCAACCCUG